GGCCUCAUAACUCAGCUGGUAGAGUACGCGCCUCUUAAGCGCUUAGUCGUUGGUUCGAAUCCAACUGGGGUCA
Molecule: transfer RNA, 73 nt
Filed under: Candidatus Obscuribacterales bacterium
Lineage: Bacteria; Bacillati; Candidatus Melainabacteria; Candidatus Obscuribacterales
Description: tRNA-Lys
Rfam family: tRNA
About the family: Transfer RNA (tRNA) molecules are approximately 80 nucleotides in length. Their secondary structure includes four short double-helical elements and three loops (D, anti-codon, and T loops). Further hydrogen bonds mediate the characteristic L-shaped molecular structure. tRNAs have two regions of fundamental functional importance: the anti-codon, which is responsible for specific mRNA codon recognition, and the 3' end, to which the tRNAs corresponding amino acid is attached (by aminoacyl-tRNA synthetases). tRNAs cope with the degeneracy of the genetic code in two manners: having more than one tRNA (with a specific anti-codon) for a particular amino acid; and 'wobble' base-pairing, i.e. permitting non-standard base-pairing at the 3rd anti-codon position.
Source: RNAcentral